GCAAGUCGUACGAGAAAGCCUCUUCGGAGGUGAGUAAAGUGGCGCACGGGUGAGUAACGCGUGGGUAAUCUACCUUCGAAUUGGGGAUAACGUUGCGAAAGCGACGCUAAUACCGAAUAACAUCCAUUAAUCUUCGGGUUUUUGGAUCAAGGGUGGCCUCUACAUGUAAGCUACUGUUUGAAGAUGAGCCCGCGUACCAUUAGCUUGUUGGUGGGGUAAUGGCCUACCAAGGCAGCGAUGGUUAGCUGGUCUGAGAGGAUGAUC
Molecule: ribosomal RNA, 264 nt
Filed under: uncultured bacterium
Lineage: Bacteria
Description: partial 16S ribosomal RNA
Rfam family: Bacterial small subunit ribosomal RNA
Source: RNAcentral